Long non-coding RNA from Macrobrachium nipponense, 2523 nucleotides. RefSeq lists it as uncharacterized. The transcript is spliced from 3 exons. The record is from RefSeq and is a predicted model, not a curated record. Lineage: Eukaryota; Metazoa; Arthropoda; Malacostraca; Decapoda; Palaemonidae.
AGAGAGAGAGAGAGAGAGAGAGAGACUGGAACCCGAAGUCUUUGAUUUCAGCCGUUUUCGAUCAGGUGUAUGGAUGCUGGUGAUACAAAUCUACUUAUAAGAGUAGACUAGUUAUAUAGAAUGGAAAAAGAUAUUAGACUGGUCUUCAAGAACGGAAAAGACCGAAGAAGAACUUUAAAGUCUGGGAAUAGAUUGGUUUUCAAAAAUGGAAAAGACGGAUACACUGGUUAUCAAGAACGGGAAGAACUGAGGAAUGGAUUUGAAUCUCAUCCUGCUACAGAAAUUAUUUUAUAAGGAGAGAAAUAUGGUCAGAAACUCAACUUUUGGAUCUGUUAGUUGAGACAAGACAGAACUCUCCUAGAUUGACUCCAAGACCAUCUGCUCACCUGGCAAGGCUUUUAAUCAAGACUACUGCUCUCAUUUUUUUUUUUUCUAUCUUGAAAAUAGGAGCUUGCCUCAAUCAAGACAAUCAUCAGUUCACCUGACAAGACUUCGAUGAAGACUUAUACGAAGUUUUUUUUUUUUUUAGUUUGUUUGUACUUAUAGAUGGAUUUAAAAUACCAUGUUGCCAGCUCACAUCUAUGUAGUUAGGACUGAUUCAUCAUUGAGCAAAAUUAGGCAUCAUUGAGCAAAAAUUUUAACAAUUUUAAUUUCAACAUCUUAAGAGUUUGAAUAGGAGUCAUCUUUAGAGUAAGAAUUUUUAUUUUAACUGAGUAAGUUUUAAUCUUAGACAUCAAAUUUUAAUCUUGACACAUCAGUUUGAGUAAAAAUUCUAACAUCAGUAUGAAUAAAUUUUGAUUUUCAAAAAAAAAAACUAGCGAGUAGAUUUUGAUUUUAACAGCAAAAAUUCUAGUUUUUUAAUAAAUAUGAAUUUAAAUGACCAUGUAUUUUGGACGUAAUUUAGAGACUUAAAUUGUACUAUAAUCUUAUAUUGUACGAUAAUUUCAUAUUGUAAAUUGGCAAUGUUAAGCAUUUUAAAUAUCUCAAGGUAGCCAUACUUAGAGUCAGUAUUAAAUUAGUAAUUUACAGUUUUCUUAGGUGAGCAAGUUUGUCUUCACACACACCCACUGUUCCAAGUACCACCUUCGCUACUUAAAACUACGUAAUUGUCUCCUAAAUCAGUUAAACUGAUUUCGUACAUUAGGCACAUUGUAAAAUAAUGGAAGCUUGACUAUAAAGGUCUAUUUUACCUAAUGACAAUAUAAAGCUCUGUACACUCGUAAGGUAAAAUCUUCACCACUAUGAAGACCUAUUUUACCUCACUAGCAAACUUUGGGUGAUAAAAUACGGGUGCAGAAGUGAAAAAUUUAUAUGUACUAUUUAUUCAGUAAUAUUAAAAUAAGGGCGGUUACACGGAUAGUCUCUCUCUCUCGUAAUGUAAUUCAAGGGACGAUCACUGAACGCAGAGAAAUUCUUAUUGUUGUUUCCCCUCUUUUAAUGAUUCUCUCUCUCUCUCUCUCUCAAUGUAAGUCAAGUAACUAAGACGGUGAUGGGAUUAUCGGAUUACUUAGCUCUCAAAUCACAAAUUAUCUCCUCUUUCUCUCUCAUUUUUGGAUAGCAAGAUAAAAUUAUAAAAUUGUAGUUCAUUAAUGUCGUUAAAUGGCUCUCGCUCGCUCUCUCUCUCGUCGGAGACUUUCAUUUAACGGAACAGGGAUCUUGAUUGGUUAGUUUCUUUGUUAAUUACUUUGCACGGUGAUUCUAAUAAUAAAGUAUCAUUCUUUUCAUUAUGUUACUGCAAAGACGCAACUUGUAUGUCAGUGCGUUAUGGCUGUAGUAGAAAGUAGGAACUUGUCAGUUUCCUUUUUAUGAUGUCCAUUGGCAGGAUCGAAAUUCCGAAGCAACAUUACCGUUAUUUUGUGCACUGGCAGUCCCGAUGGAUUUAACUUAUUCAAAAAAUCUUGCGGAUAUUGAUGAUAAUUUUCAUCUUCUAUUGUGUCCGAGCUGAAAUAUUAGCGACUUUCUCCGGGGAAGUUGUACAGAAAUUAUAUAAGGAAAAACCGUAAAGUAACUUAGUCUACGGGAAUAACCAGCCUCGUUUCACGGCCAGAAACUGCUGCGUUUCAGGGAAUCCCUUCUCACCCCCACCCCCUACAAAGGAGGGGGGUAGGUUGGAUGAAAUCCCAUUACAAACCAUCUUAGGGGUCCCCGCUAUGACCCGGCAAAGUUUCAUGCCCAUCUGGCCAGCCGUUUGGCCGUGAUUGAAUGACAGACAGACAGACAAUUAUAGUAUGAUAAAGAGAUUAUAAAGCUCUGUACACUCUCUAUGGUAAAAUCUUCACAGUCAAGCUUUCGUACAUUAAUCAAUGGUUAAAAUAAUGGAAGUAGUUUUACUGAAUUAAGAAGCUAGUAGUCUUAAGUAGCGAAGGUGGUACUAACUCCCACAGCUGUCAAACUAAUGUAUAAAAUUACGGUAACACUUUACUAUCGAAAUUACCAUAAACACCAUAAACAAUUAAGUUUAAGAUUUUCGUCUAUGGAGAUUUUCAUUACUGUAUAUAAUACUGUUAUACUUUAUAUAAUAUA